Molecule: non-coding RNA, 25 nt
Filed under: Rattus norvegicus (Norway rat)
Lineage: Eukaryota; Metazoa; Chordata; Mammalia; Rodentia; Muridae
Source: RNAcentral
UAGGGAAGAAAAUGGGACCUGAGAG